AGUGAACGCUGGCGGUAGGCCUAACACAUGCAAGUCGAACGGCAGCACAGUAAGAGCUUGCUCUUACGGGUGGCGAGUGGCGGACGGGUGAGGAAUACAUCGGAAUCUACUUUUUCGUGGGGGAUAACGUAGGGAAACUUACGCUAAUACCGCAUACGACCUACGGGUGAAAGCAGGGGAUCUUCGGACCUUGCGCGAUUGAAUGAGCCGAUGUCGGAUUAGCUAGUUGGCGGGGUAAAGGCCCGCCAAGGCGACGAUCCGUAGCUGGUCUGAGAGGAUGAUCAGCCACACUGGAACUGAGACACGGUCCAGACUCCUACGGGAGGCAGCAGUGGGGAAUAUUGGACAAUGGGCGCAAGCCUGAUCCAGCCAUACCGCGUGGGUGAAGAAGGCCUUCGGGUUGUAAAGUCCUUUUGUUGGGAAAGAAAAGCAGCAGGUUAAUACCCCGCUGUUCUGACGGUACCCAAAGAAUAAGCACCGGCUAACUUCGUG
Molecule: ribosomal RNA, 492 nt
Filed under: uncultured bacterium
Lineage: Bacteria
Description: partial 16S ribosomal RNA
Rfam family: Bacterial small subunit ribosomal RNA
Source: RNAcentral